UGGGAGUGAGGCCAGGUGGAGGUGGGGAAGCCAAGGGAGGGGAGGCCGGCCAGGUAGCCACGGAAGGCGCCAGGAGAGACAGCAAUGGCAGCAAGGUAAGGAAGGGGGCCGGGGUCUGAGUGGUGAGUCAGGUAGCAGGGCAGGGCCCGGGCCAGGGCUGGUGGAGCCACCUCAAGUUCAGGGGUGGGGAAGUGACGAAGCCGGGGAGCUGAGACGGGAACAGGAGUGGGGUGGCCGGGGGCAGCACCGGGUCCAAGCGGAAUGCAGGUGGGGCCAGGGGUGAGAUCAGAAUGGGGAGCACUCGGGGAUCAAUGUCUGUGUCAUUAGUGCGUGUGUCACGAUGGGGGCGGGGUAGGGCUAAGGCGUAGGACCGGGGUCGGGGGUCAUCCCCCUAGGGGGCAGCGAGGGGCCAGGCCAGGCUCUCAGGAAGUCAGGGGUGGGCCCAGCCCGAGAGGGAAGAGGUCAGGAGUAGGAGAGUCCAGGGUGAGGUCACGGCGAGGUGGAGCAGGCUUAGGUCACAGACAGGAUGCACCAAGAGGGACCCAAGAGCACCGCUGAGGCAGUCCUGCCAAAACAGUGACUUGAUCCAUUCCGGAGGAAACAUCAGCCCCCAACCCCCGCCAAAAAAAAGAAACUGGCCUGGACUCUUUGAAAGGGACUGAGACAUGACAGCAGAAUGCCAAGUCUUUUGCUAUAAAUGACAAUAGUGGGACAACUGGUAAAAUCUGAGUAAGAUCUGUAGACUGGAUACCAGUACUGUAUCAGCGUUAGUUUCCUGAGUUGGAUUGUUAUACCUAGUAAUGUAAGAAAAUGACCUUUCUUUUCAAGGAAAUGCACACUGAAUUAUUUAGGGGAAAGAGACAUCAUGUCU
RNAcentral lists this long non-coding RNA (871 nucleotides) under Pan troglodytes (chimpanzee). RNAcentral describes it as "long non-coding RNA NONPTRT009064". Lineage: Eukaryota; Metazoa; Chordata; Mammalia; Primates; Hominidae. The record is from RNAcentral.